AUUGAACGCUGGCGGCAGGCCUAACACAUGCAAGUCGAACGGUAACAGGAAGAUGCUUGCUUCUUUGCUGACGAGUGGCGGACGGGUGAGUAAUGUCCGGGAAACUGCCUGAUGGAGGGGGAUAAUUACUGGAAACGGGAGCUAAUACCGCCUAACGUCGCAAGAUCACAGAGGGGGACGUAAGGGCAUCUUGCCACUGGAUGUGGCGAGAUGGGAGUAGCAAGUAGGUGGGGUAAUGGCUCACCUAGGCGACGACCACUAGCUGGCAUGAGGGGAUGACCAGCCACACGGGAACUGAGACACGGCGCAGACACCGACAGGAGGCAACAGUGGAGAAUAUUGCACGAGGGGCGCAUAGGUGAUGCAGCGAUACCGCGUGUAUGAAGAAGGCCUUCGGGUUGGAGAGUACUUACAGCGUGGAGGAAGGGAGUAAAGUUAAUACCUUUGCUCAUUGACGUUACCCGCAGAAGAAGCACCGGCUAACUCCGUG
This 490-nucleotide ribosomal RNA is filed under the name uncultured bacterium. RNAcentral describes it as "partial 16S ribosomal RNA". It matches the Rfam family "Bacterial small subunit ribosomal RNA", at positions 29 to 507 of the family's 1533-position model. The record is from RNAcentral.